RNAcentral lists this ribosomal RNA (253 nucleotides) under uncultured Flavobacteriaceae bacterium. RNAcentral's name for it is "partial 16S ribosomal RNA". It matches the Rfam family "Bacterial small subunit ribosomal RNA", at positions 524 to 776 of the family's 1533-position model. The record is from RNAcentral. Lineage: Bacteria; Pseudomonadati; Bacteroidota; Flavobacteriia; Flavobacteriales; Flavobacteriaceae.
UACGGAGGAUGCAAGCGUUAUCCGGAAUCAUUGGGUUUAAAGGGUCCGUAGGUGGAUUGGUAAGUCAGAGGUGAAAGCCUGCAGCUCAACUGUAGAACUGCCUUUGAUACUGCUAGUCUUGAAUUAUUGUGAAGUGGUUAGAAUAUGUAGUGUAGCGGUGAAAUGCAUAGAUAUUACAUAGAAUACCAAUUGCGAAGGCAGAUCACUAACAAUAUAUUGACACUGAUGGACGAAAGCGUGGGGAGCGAACGGG